AGUAACGCGUAGGUAAUCUACCCUUAUGACUGGGAUAACAUUGGGAAACUGGUGCUAAUACCGGAUACACUUCUAUACUGCGGGGUAAAGGAGGAAAGGUGGCCUCUUCAUGAAAGCUACCGUAUAGGGAUGAGCCUGCGUACCAUUAGCUAGUAGGCGGGGUAACGGCCCACCUAGGCAACGAUGGUUAGCGGGUCUGAGAGGAUGAUCCGCCACACUGGAACUGGAACACGGACCAG
Molecule: ribosomal RNA, 239 nt
Filed under: uncultured bacterium
Lineage: Bacteria
Description: partial 16S ribosomal RNA
Rfam family: Bacterial small subunit ribosomal RNA
Source: RNAcentral